RNAcentral lists this ribosomal RNA (497 nucleotides) under uncultured bacterium. RNAcentral's name for it is "partial 16S ribosomal RNA". It matches the Rfam family "Bacterial small subunit ribosomal RNA", at positions 28 to 507 of the family's 1533-position model. The record is from RNAcentral.
GAUGAACGCUGGCGGCGUGCCUAAUACAUGCAAGUCGAGCGAACAGACGAGGAGCUUGCUCCUCUGACGUUAGCGGCGGACGGGUGAGUAACACGUGGAUAACCUACCUAUAAGACUGGGAUAACUUCGGGAAGCCGGAGCUAAUACCGGAUAAUAUAUUGAACCGCAUGGUUCAAUAGUGAAAGACGGUUUUGCUGUCACUUAUAGAUGGAUCCGCGCCGCAUUAGCUAGUUGGUAAGGUAACGGCUUACCAAGGCAACGAUGCGUAGCCGACCUGAGAGGGUGAGCGGCCACACUGGAACUGAGACACGGUCCAGACUCCUACGGGAGGCAGCAGUAGGGAAUCUUCCGCAAUGGGCGAAAGCCUGACGGAGCAACGCCGCGUGAGUGAUGAAGGUCUUCGGAUCGUAAAACUCUGUUAUUAGGGAAGAACAAAUGUGUAAGUAACUAUGCACGUCUUGACGGUACCUAAUCAGAAAGCCACGGCUAACUACGUG